Molecule: non-coding RNA, 1078 nt
Organism: Girardinichthys multiradiatus
Lineage: Eukaryota; Metazoa; Chordata; Actinopteri; Cyprinodontiformes; Goodeidae
Source: the annotation of a RefSeq genome assembly
AGGCAUCAUGGAGGUUUGGUCUGCAGAGAGCCAAUAAUUAUUGUUAUUAACAUGAACUCUACACAUGAUGUGCAACAUGCUUUGACCAAUGAAUGGUUAAUAUUGUAACAUUUCUAAUCCAGGCUCAGAAGAUCUAAAGUAAACCCAACUGAAAAGACACAGUCCAGACAUCCAGCGACACCUAAAACACAUCCAGUUAUUAUUCUUGGAGCCAUGCUGGGAGAGAACAGUCAAAUCACAAUGAGACAGCAGUUUCUAUUUGGUUUAACUCUAUGUGGCAGUAAGCUAAACUGUUUUCAUCAUGAUUUCAUCUAGAAAAGCAGUAAAAAGGUGAAUCAAAGGAGGCUGAACACCUUCUAGAGUCAAUGAAAUCCUCUAGAUGAUCUGUUCUUCAACCAGAAGAAGCUGAGAGCCUGCUCACCAGGAGGAAGAGGAGCUGAGAUGUUCAGGGAGGAGCUGAGAUGUUACUGAACUCUAGAAGAUACUCAAACUUCCUCAUUCAACACAGUUCAACACACAAACAUUAACUCUGCUCAACAUGCUGUCUUUGCUCACAUCUGGAUUUAUUCUGCUGGUUCUGCUCAUUAGAACAGAUGUAAACUGUCAACAACUCACUGCACUGAAGACUGAGGAGUCCAGUUUAGAGGGCGGUUCUGUUACUCUGUCCUGCAAUUACACCAAAGGUUCUGCUUAUUAUUUGUUCUGGUAUCGAAAAAAUCCAGGAAAACCUCCAGAGUUCCUGAAGUCUCACUCACCUUCAGGAGGAGCAGAACAUCUGGACAGACUAAAAUUUGAAGGAAACCAAGAGGAGAUGAAGAUGACCAUCUCCUCUGCUGCAGUGACAGAUUCUGCUGUGUACUACUGUGCUGUGAGGCCCACAGUGACAGGAAACACCAGAACUCUGUACAAGAACCUGUUAUACUCCACAUCAUCCACUAGAGGGCCUCAUGAAUCAGGCUGCAGGAUGAUGAGGUGCAGCUGCUGGAACCAAACUUUAUUCUACUUAAAGCCAGUGGUGGAAAUGAUGUCUUGUUCUGGUAUAAACAAGAAGAAAAAAGCUUCCCAAAGUACAUGCUGA